UCCGUUUUUGGGCGGGAAUCGCUCUUUUCCUGGAGAGGAAAGUCGACGCGUUUGAUGCAGAUGAUCUGCCUCGAUUCGAUCUAUCUUUCUCUUCAACCGUCUUCUCGUCGAUCGAUCAGGGGCGGAUAACCACUUGGGAGCUUGGUGGCGGUGAUCAGCGAAGCAAAUUGGUAGGUUGAGGUUGCGAGAUGGACCGACGCAGUUGGAUCUGGAGAUGGAAAUCAUCAGAAAAGGAGGGCGGCUGUGAGACGGAGAGCUCGGGUUCUGUAUCUUCAGAGAGGUCUUUUUACAAUGGUAUCUGUAGUCUCAUGGAAAUCUGGAAACAAACUUGUUUUUUUUUUCUAAUUGUAAUUUUGUUGUUUAUAAUUGUGUUGUGAUCAA
Long non-coding RNA from Zingiber officinale, 381 nucleotides. RefSeq lists it as uncharacterized. The transcript has 2 exons. The record is from RefSeq and is a predicted model, not a curated record. Lineage: Eukaryota; Viridiplantae; Streptophyta; Magnoliopsida; Zingiberales; Zingiberaceae.